This 311-nucleotide ribosomal RNA is filed under the name uncultured microorganism. RNAcentral describes it as "bacterial SSU rRNA". It matches the Rfam family "Archaeal small subunit ribosomal RNA", at positions 330 to 643 of the family's 1478-position model. The record is from RNAcentral.
GUGCAGCAGUCGCGAAACCUCUGCAAUGCGCGCAAGCGCGACAGGGCUACCCCGAGUGCCGCCCGCUGAGGGCGGCUUUUCUCCGGUGUAAUGAGUCGGAGGAAUAAGGGGAGGGCAAGCCUGGUGUCAGCCGCCGCGGUAAUACCAGCUCCCCGAGUGGUGGGGACGGUUAUUGGGCCUAAAGCGUCCGUAGCCGGUUCGGCAAGUCCUCCGUUAAAGCCAACGAUCCAAUCGUUGGAAUGCGGGGGAUACUGCCGGACUAGGGGGCGGGAGAGGCCGACGGUACUCCUGGGGUAGGGGUGAAAUCCUAU